ACGCUCGACACCUACGGGGAGGCAGCAGUUGGGAAUAUUGGACAAUGGAGGAAACUCUGAUCCAGUGACGCCGCGUGAAGGAAGAAGGUCUUCGGAUUGUAAACUUAUUUUGUCAGGGAAGAAAAAAUGACUGUACCUGAAGAAAAAGCACCGGCUAACUACGUGUCAGCAGCCGCGGUAAUCUGAGCGGGCUGGCAAGGC
This 201-nucleotide ribosomal RNA is filed under the name uncultured bacterium. RNAcentral describes it as "partial 16S ribosomal RNA". It matches the Rfam family "Bacterial small subunit ribosomal RNA", at positions 328 to 539 of the family's 1533-position model. The record is from RNAcentral.